CGAGUGGCGGACGGGUGAGUAAUGUCUGGGAAACUGCCUGAUGGAGGGGGAUAACUACUGGAAACGGUAGCUAAUACCGCAUAACGUCGAAAGACCAAAGAGGGGGACCUUCGGGCCUCUUGCCAUCGGAUGUGCCCAGAUGGGAUUAGCUUGUUGGUGGGGUAAUGGCUCACCAAGGCGACGAUCCCUAGCUGGUCUGAGAGGAUGACCAGCCACACUGGAACUGAGACACGGUCCAAACUCCUACGGGAGGCAGCAUG
Molecule: ribosomal RNA, 260 nt
Filed under: uncultured bacterium
Lineage: Bacteria
Description: partial 16S ribosomal RNA
Rfam family: Bacterial small subunit ribosomal RNA
Source: RNAcentral